UACGUAGGGUGCGAGCGUUAAUCGGAAUUACUGGGCGUAAAGCGUGCGCAGGCGGUUUUGUAAGCCAGAUGUGAAAUCCCCGGGCUUAACCUGGGAAUGGCAUUUGGGACUGCAAGGCUUGAGUGCGGCAGAGGAGACUGGAAUUCCUGGUGUAGCAGUGAAAUGCGUAGAUAUCAGGAGGAAUACCGAUGGCGAGGGCAGGUCUCUGGGCUGACACUGACGCUCAUGCACGAAAGCGUGGGGAGCAAACAGG
RNAcentral lists this ribosomal RNA (253 nucleotides) under uncultured bacterium. RNAcentral's name for it is "partial 16S ribosomal RNA". It matches the Rfam family "Bacterial small subunit ribosomal RNA", at positions 524 to 776 of the family's 1533-position model. The record is from RNAcentral.